GAUGAACGCUGGCGGCGUGCCUAAUACAUGCAAGUCGAGCGAACAGACGAGGAGCUUGCUCCUCUGACGUUAGCGGCGGACGGGUGAGUAACACGUGGAUAACCUACCUAUAAGACUGGGAUAACUUCGGGAAACCGGAGCUAAUACCGGAUAAUAUAUUGAACCGCAUGGUUCAAUAGUGAAAGACGGUUUUGCUGUCACUUAUAGAUGGAUCCGCGCCGCAUUAGCUAGUUGGUAAGGUAACGGCUUACCAAGGCAACGAUGCGUAGCCGACCUGAGAGGGUGAUCGGCCACACUGGAACUGAGACACGGUCCAGACUCCUACGGGAGGCAGCAGUAGGGAAUCUUCCGCAAUGGGCGAAAGCCUGACGGAGCAACGCCGCGUGAGUGAUGAAGGUCUUCGGAUCGUAAAACUCUGUUAUUAGGGAAGAACAAAUGUGUAAGUAACUAUGCACGUCUUGACGGUACCUAAUCAGAAAGCCACGGUUAACUACGCG
Molecule: ribosomal RNA, 497 nt
Filed under: uncultured bacterium
Lineage: Bacteria
Description: partial 16S ribosomal RNA
Rfam family: Bacterial small subunit ribosomal RNA
Source: RNAcentral